GGUGUACAGCGGUCAGUCUGCGGAGCUGUGGCUCCAGCCUGCUCGUCAAAUCCCAGUGCCUCGUAACUUCACAACAAUCACUCUAAAACCAUUUCUGUUCUGUGUUUUGCUCCGUCAGCGACGCAACGGCGAGAAUGCCGCACCCUGAAUGAAAGCGGAGAGGACGCGGCGUCUUGUGAAAGAGAAGGGCUGACGAGGAAGGGACGAUUCGACUGAAGCCAGCAGACUGCCCCAGCCUUUUAGCGGGGAUACUGCAGCAGGUGUCUGUCCAGCGCGACGGCGUGAAUGCCGCACCCUGAAUGAAAGCGGAGAGGACGCGCCGUCUUGUGAAAGAGAGGGGCUGACGAGAAAGGGACGAUUCGACUGAAGCCAGCAGACUGCGAUAUAUUCGCCAACGAAUCUUGACCCUAACCCCUAACCCUAACUCUAACCCAUAACCCUAACGCUAACCCCUAACUCUAACCCUAACCCCUAACCCCUAACCUCUAACCCCUAACCCUAACCCGUUCGCCAACGAAUCUCCCCAGGCGGCCGACCAGUUCUCGGCUUGGUCCCCGAGUGCAGCUCCGAACAAGAGCCGCCAAGAACUUUAAAUGUGAUGUACUGUUUUAUUUCUAGAAUAAACUGUUGUCAGUU
Molecule: long non-coding RNA, 636 nt
Organism: Pseudoliparis swirei
Lineage: Eukaryota; Metazoa; Chordata; Actinopteri; Perciformes; Liparidae
Exons: 2
Source: RefSeq, a predicted model, not a curated record